Molecule: long non-coding RNA, 536 nt
Filed under: Bos taurus (domestic cattle)
Lineage: Eukaryota; Metazoa; Chordata; Mammalia; Artiodactyla; Bovidae
Description: long non-coding RNA NONBTAT009084
Source: RNAcentral
GGAAAACUUACACAUAGUAUUGUCUUAAGUUUUUUUAAAACUCAGUGUAAUUUCCAAUUUUAAAAAUACAAUUUGGGAAGGUAAAGACUUAAUGAAUGUAGUAUUCAGUGAACUAAUGAACCAGAGCCAGAUUAGAUAGUUAAAUCCUUUCAGUAGUUUUGUUGAAUAGGCAUUUUAGUAGAUAACAUGCCAGACAACAUUUAGUAAAUCCUUAAUAUAAUAACAACUGUGAUCUCAUUCUUAGUGAAAGGGAAAUUAUCACAUUUCCUAUGUAAAAUUAUAUUCAUUAAGAAAACAAAUACAUCUCUAACAUCUAUAGUAGUAAAUAAUACAAUAUGCUUAAGUAGCACUUGUAUUUUUAUUUUUGAAAUUUGUGUCCUACUCUCUUAAAAGGGCAUGAAGGGGCCUACAAAAUACAAAGCUGUCAAGGAAGACAUUUAACAUUAAAACAGCACAGAAGUACAUGGUUUCAGACCACUAAGAAAGUAAAGCUUGGACAAAAAAAUUGUUUCUAAAUUUUCCUGCUUCUAAAGCAG